CCGAAUGAAAUGUAAAAUGUGUGGACCGGUAAUUAUGUGAAUGGAAAUACUUAUGUUUUAUGUUGUUUUGUUAUGUUUACUGCAUUAAUAAACAAUGAGGUAAGCUGUUUUCUUUAAUUUAAUCGAUAUUGGAUUAAAUGUUCACCUUACUUUAUUUUUUAAUGUGUUGAAGGUGACAUUAGUAAAUUUGUAUUACGAUUGCCCCCGAGUUGUUUUAUUUUUAGAACACUACACAUAUCCGGAUGUUGCUAUUUUAAGAACCAGAAGGUAUUUCCCCGCUAUUCAUAGGUCAAUAAUGGAAUUUCUACAUCGUCGAUUAAUAAAUCGGUUUUGUCAUGAAUAUACGUUUAAAAUAAGUAAACACUAAAAGUGCACACUGACAGUUGAUUACGAUACAUCUAACAAUUUGAGUCAUUACAGUAAAACAUGGAUUAUAAGUGAAUUAUACGCGUAAGAGAAGAUUUUCUGUCGAAAAAACUAAUGUCAACAAUCAGCAUGGAAUUGGGAUAUUCCUAUCAAAGGGCUAUUCAUGCAGGAAAAGGACUGAAUAUUACUAUUAUAUGAAGAAUUCCAGCAUGCAUUAAAUACUAUGUUGGAUCAUUGAGACAGAUUUGACAUCCAUGUCUAUCCACAUCUGAUAGAGAUGAUCACUAAACAUUCUAGAUGGGUAAAGACCUGUUAAAUCAGCAUUGACUCAGCAUUGAGUAAUUUUCAUCUGUGCAGACACUACAAGUACAAACGCAUGGGAACAAACCAAACUUCAAAUAAUGAAGAGUGAAGAAUUAUUGUGAAAAGUUCUAAAUGUUAGAAUACCAUUGACUAAAUAAAUCAAAUAGACAUCGAUUACCAGCAGAGACUGUUUACAUGUUAUAAUAUUAAAAAGACAUUAGUUGAGAACUUUCACUCUGACAUUUUUGGAGGGGCAUUACCGCCUACUUAGUGUUCUUGUUUCUUUACAUAUUUUAAUUUAAAAGUACAUUCAUUGUUUUUAAAUCUGAAUUCUGAGUUAGUAUCAUAAGUAAAAUUCAUUUAUUUGAUUGAUUACAUUUUAUGAAUAAGUCCAAUUGAGCUUUUUACAAGAAAAAGGUUGAUUUUUAAGCAUUUUAUUAGUUAUAAAAAUGUAUAGUUACAUGACAUUAUGUAUAUUUUCUUCAAAACUGAACGGUAAACUAUCAUAAAUUAUCUUUUGAAUUGUUCAUUAGACAUCAUAGAAAAUAUUUAAAUGAUUUCAGCAGGUUGUCUUAUUAUUAACUAUUUUUUAUGAAUUUAUAAAACUGCUAUAUAUUUUCAAACAUCGAAAUACUGCUCUGUUCCGAAGACUCACAAGAUCAAUCAAAAUGAUUUUUUUCCCAUGUGUAUCAAUAAUAUGUUCGGUUGAACGUAAUUUUUCUAUUAACUGAAGUUUAUUUUACCAGAAACUGUUGUGUUUAUUUCAUAAUCUCUGAUAAUGUGAAAAAAAAUCAAAUAAAGACAAAAUAUUUUUAAUUAAUAGUAAAAAAUCUUCCAAAUUUGGAUAAAAGUCCCAUAGUGUACCAUGAUAAUAACUAUGUUGUCCGUAAAAGCUUUAUAAAAGUGUGUAUUACUUAUACCUUAAUUCAGUUCAAAUAAUUAUGGCCUUUAAGGAUUUGUGUUUUCAUAAUAUAGAUUUCCUGUUAUAUUGAGCUUUGUCAAUUUGUGUUGAUGUUUUGUUUUAUGUACAAUUACUACUUCUAUUUCCUAACUUUUGUCUCAUUUGUCAAAUUGAAUUGUUACAUAUUUAAGUGAAAAAACACACACACUAUUUUUAAAGAUGCACUCUUACUCCCCAAUAAGACUUAUGAUAAUUAAUAUUAUUGUUUUCAUUUUUCAAAAUGGGUUGAUAGAUGUCAACAACAAUGUUUCUAAUGAAGGAGUUCAAUUUGCUAAUAAGAAUGAACUUAAAACAUGGUAUUUCUGCCUUGUGAUACUAUAGUAGACCACAGUAAAUCUUUUAGCAAUCACCAAUUGAUCAAUUAAUAUUUGUCAUGCAUUCUGCUGUUAUAAAAAGGGUGACAAGCUUGUUAUCAGUAAACGAUAUUUCAGUAAAUGCAUUAUUUAGUAAGUAGUUAUUGUUUUUUCACUCAAUUUAAUGUGUGUUAUAUAUACAAUUAUAUGUAUUGAUUUCAAAUAAGAGUUUCACUUUAAAGAUGCUCAUUUAAAGAUAAUGAACAGACACACAAAACUAGCCACAUUUGAUACUAAUUAUACGUAUGAUUAUUGUUUUAUAUAUAAGUGACCUCUGAUUUGUUUUGGAGAUAUUCAUAAAUGGGUGUUAUUCUUUAUUGUCUUCAUUUUCUUAUACAUUUAAGGAUUUUUAUAAUUGCUUUUCUGGUAUAUAUUACAUGAUUUCAAAUAAGAGUUUCACUUUAAAGAUGCUCAUUUAAAGAUAAUGAACAGACACACAAAACUAGCCACAUUUGAUACUAAUUAUACGUAUGAUUAUUGUUUUAUAUAUAAGUGACCUCUGAUUUGUUUUGGAGAUAUUCAUAAAUGGGUGUUAUUCUUUAUUGUCUUCAUUUUCUUAUACAUUUAAGGAUUUUUAUAAUUGCUUUUCUGGUAUAUAUUACAAUGUAAUUUAAUGCAAAUGAAAACACACUUUAAACUGGACACAUUUGAUACUAAUGAUAUGAAUGCUUAUUGUUUACAUGUACUCUGAUUUGUUAUGAAGAUAUUCAUAAAGGGGUGUUCUUCAUGUUAUUAUACAUUUUGGACUUGAUUUAGUAUUGCUUUUCUGGUAUAUAUUCAUUUACUGCACAAAGAAAUUAUUUUAAGUGUUCAGUAUCACUUUCACACAUUGUUUACUAUUAUCUGUUUUGCAUAUUUGGCCUAUUUAUGCUUAUAUGUGCAUUGUUGUAUUUCAAAAUCUUUGUGAAAAAUAGAAACAGUAUUAUUUCCUUCAUACAUAGUCUGAUAGAUAUUCAGUUUGAAUGCGUUAUUUUUAUCAUAUUUGAAAAAAAUGCCAUUGUCCAAUAAGACACAUGCUGUUUUUGUGUUAAUAUCAAAUAAAACAUCCAUUUUCUACUCUUCUUUACUAUGUAAAUGAAGAAGUUAACAUUAGUAUUA
Molecule: long non-coding RNA, 3081 nt
Organism: Mya arenaria
Lineage: Eukaryota; Metazoa; Mollusca; Bivalvia; Myida; Myidae
Exons: 3
Source: RefSeq, a predicted model, not a curated record